This 85-nucleotide transfer RNA is filed under the name Candidatus Nitrosotenuis cloacae. RNAcentral describes it as "tRNA-Leu (TAA) (tRNA-Leu-TAA-1-1)". It matches the Rfam family "tRNA". Rfam says of the family: Transfer RNA (tRNA) molecules are approximately 80 nucleotides in length. Their secondary structure includes four short double-helical elements and three loops (D, anti-codon, and T loops). Lineage: Archaea; Thermoproteati; Nitrososphaerota. The record is from RNAcentral. RNAcentral also lists the same sequence under 3 other names.
GCAGGAGUAGCCGAGCCUGGCCAAAGGCGCGGGACUUAAGAUCCCGUCUCUUAGGGGUUCGUGGGUUCAAAUCCCACCUCCUGCA